GGGAUAACAGCUAGAAAUAGCUGCUAAUACCGCAUAAGCGCACGGUUCCGCAUGGAACAGUGUGAAAAACUCCGGUGGUGUGAGAUGGACCCGCGUCUGAUUAGCCAGUUGGCGGGGUAACGGCCCACCAAAGCGACGAUCAGUAGCCGGCCUGAGAGGGUGAACGGCCACAUUGGGACUGAGACACGGCCCAAACUCCUACGGGAGGCAGCAGUGGGGAAUAUUGCACAAUGGGGGAAACCCUGAUGCAGCGACGCCGCGUGAGUGAAGAAGUAUUUCGGUAUGUAAAGCUCUAUCAGCAGGGAAGAAAGUGACGGUACCUGAAUAAGAAGCCCCGGCUAACUACGUGCCAGCAGCCGCGGUAAUACGUAGGGGGCAAGCGUUAUCCGGAUUUACUGGGUGUAAAGGGAGCGUAGACGGCAAGGCAAGUCUGAAGUGAAAGCCCGGUGCUUAACGCCGGGACUGCUUUGGAAACUGUUUGGCUGGAGUGCCGGAGAGGUAAGCGGAAUUCCUAGUGUAGCGGUGAAAUGCGUAGAUAUUAGGAAGAACACCAGUGGCGAAGGCGGCUUACUGGACGGUAACUGACGUUGAGGCUCGAAAGCGUGGGGAGCAAACAGGAUUAGAUACCCUGGUAGUCCACGCCGUAA
RNAcentral lists this ribosomal RNA (647 nucleotides) under uncultured bacterium. Its description in RNAcentral is "bacterial SSU rRNA". It matches the Rfam family "Bacterial small subunit ribosomal RNA", at positions 140 to 805 of the family's 1533-position model. The record is from RNAcentral.